This 431-nucleotide ribosomal RNA is filed under the name uncultured bacterium. Its description in RNAcentral is "partial 16S ribosomal RNA". It matches the Rfam family "Bacterial small subunit ribosomal RNA", at positions 29 to 507 of the family's 1533-position model. The record is from RNAcentral.
AACGAACGCUGGCGGCAGGCUUAACACAUGCAAGUCGAGCGCCCCGCCAGGGGAGCGGCAGACGGGUGAGUAACGCGUGGGAACGUACCUUUUGGUUCGGAACAACUCCGGGAAACUGGAGCUAAUACCGGAUAAGCCCUAACGGGGAAAGAUUUAUCGCCGAAAGAUCGGCCCGCGUCUGAUUAGCUAGUUGGUGAGGUAACGGCUCACCAAGGCGACGAUCAGUAGCUGGUCUGAGAGGAUGAUCAGCCACACUGGGACUGAGACACGGCCCAGACUCCUACGGGAGGCAGCAGUGGGGAAUAUUGGACAAUGGGCGCAAGCCUGAUCCAGCCAUGCCGCGUGAGUGAUGAAGGCCUUAGGGUUGUAAAGCUCUUUUGUCCGGGAAGAUAAUGACUGUACCGGAAGAAUAAGCCCCGGCCAACUUCGUG